RNAcentral lists this long non-coding RNA (229 nucleotides) under Hordeum vulgare. RNAcentral describes it as "long non-coding RNA (HVUL_LNC018090)". Lineage: Eukaryota; Viridiplantae; Streptophyta; Magnoliopsida; Poales; Poaceae. The record is from RNAcentral.
CUUCUUCUUCUUCUCCUCCUCCUCCUCCUCUUCUUCUCCUCUUCUUCCUCCUCCUCUUCUUCUUCUUCUUCUUCUUCUUCUUCCUCUUAUUUCUAUUUUGAUUUUUAUUUAUUCUCUUCUUCUACUUAUUCUUCUUUUCUUCUUUUUUAUCUUCUUCUCCUUAUUUUUUCUUUUUCUCUUCUUAUCUUAAGCCUUAUUAUGUCAUUUAGGAGAGAACUUAGCUAAGUAU